ACACAAGCAAUGUGAGAAGGUUAGAUUGGCUUUAAUUAUUUAUAGAUGAUUUUAGUUUAAAUUUAUAUUUGUUAGGUGAAAUUUUAAAUUUAAUUUGGGCUUGAAGUUAUUUUAAGAAGUUAGGAAAUUUAUUAAUAAACUAGGAUUAGAUACCCUAUUAUUUUAAACGUAUAAAGACUAGGCCUAAUUAGUAUUAGUUAUGUUCUUGAAAAUUAAAGAAUUUGGCGGUAUUUUAGUCUAUUCAGAGGAACCUGUCCUAUGAUCGAUAAUCCACGAUUGGCACUACUUGUCUUAAAGAAGUUUAUAUAUCGUUGUGAUUGAAUAUUUUAGGAGAAUUACAAUAUUCAAGAUUUUUAAUUAAACAGGAAUUCAGAUCAAGGUGUAGCUUAUAGACAAGCAGAGAUGGGUUACAUUAAAUUAAUUUUUGGAUCGGUAAGGUUAAACUUUCCGUGAAAUUGGAUUUGUAAGUAAUUUAAUUUUAAUUUUUUAAGUGAUUUGAGCUCUAAAAUAUGCACAUAUUGCCCGUCGCUUUUGCUUUAAGGUAAAAUAAGUCGUAACAUAGUAGACUCACUGGAAAGUGAGUC
This 584-nucleotide ribosomal RNA is filed under the name Temnoscheila virescens. Its description in RNAcentral is "partial 12S ribosomal RNA". The record is from RNAcentral. Lineage: Eukaryota; Metazoa; Arthropoda; Insecta; Coleoptera; Trogossitidae.